ACCAACAAGAAGGAAGGCUGCUCUCCGGACUUUAAAACAAUCUUGUCUUGUUGUCUUAUUUUUGACCCUGAGGAAGGUCCCGAACGGGGACCGAAACGUUGGUCAUAAUUUUUUAAUAUUAUUUGAAUACAUUUUUUGUUUUAAAGUCCGGAGAGCAGCCUUCCUUCUUUUUGGU
RNAcentral lists this microRNA precursor (175 nucleotides) under Pelobates cultripes (western spadefoot toad). The record is from RNAcentral. Lineage: Eukaryota; Metazoa; Chordata; Amphibia; Anura; Pelobatidae.